RNAcentral lists this ribosomal RNA (793 nucleotides) under Bacillus subtilis. RNAcentral describes it as "bacterial SSU rRNA". It matches the Rfam family "Bacterial small subunit ribosomal RNA", at positions 557 to 1350 of the family's 1533-position model. Lineage: Bacteria; Bacillati; Bacillota; Bacilli; Caryophanales; Bacillaceae. The record is from RNAcentral.
GGCGUAAAGGGCUCGCAGGCGGUUUCUUAAGUCUGAUGUGAAAGCCCCCGGCUCAACCGGGGAGGGUCAUUGGAAACUGGGGAACUUGAGUGCAGAAGAGGAGAGUGGAAUUCCACGUGUAGCGGUGAAAUGCGUAGAGAUGUGGAGGAACACCAGUGGCGAAGGCGACUCUCUGGUCUGUAACUGACGCUGAGGAGCGAAAGCGUGGGGAGCGAACAGGAUUAGAUACCCUGGUAGUCCACGCCGUAAACGAUGAGUGCUAAGUGUUAGGGGGUUUCCGCCCCUUAGUGCUGCAGCUAACGCAUUAAGCACUCCGCCUGGGGAGUACGGUCGCAAGACUGAAACUCAAAGGAAUUGACGGGGGCCCGCACAAGCGGUGGAGCAUGUGGUUUAAUUCGAAGCAACGCGAAGAACCUUACCAGGUCUUGACAUCCUCUGACAAUCCUAGAGAUAGGACGUCCCCUUCGGGGGCAGAGUGACAGGUGGUGCAUGGUUGUCGUCAGCUCGUGUCGUGAGAUGUUGGGUUAAGUCCCGCAACGAGCGCAACCCUUGAUCUUAGUUGCCAGCAUUCAGUUGGGCACUCUAAGGUGACUGCCGGUGACAAACCGGAGGAAGGUGGGGAUGACGUCAAAUCAUCAUGCCCCUUAUGACCUGGGCUACACACGUGCUACAAUGGACAGAACACAGGGCAGCGAAACCGCGAGGUUAAGCCAAUCUCACAAAUCUGUUCUCAGUUCGGAUCGCAGUCUGCAACUCGACUGCGUGAAGCUGGAAUCGCUAGUAAUCGCGGAUC